GUAAAGAUCAGACCAACUGAACAACUGAAGUGCUAUUUAGGAAAUGUAGUGCACCAACGGGUAUUCCUGCAUGCACACAUUUCUCUAUCUAGACGUACAUUCUCUCUCAUGAUCGAGCUAUACCAAAAGCAAACAAGCUGUAGGCUUGAGAGGCAUCACGAAUGUUACGGGGACAUGCUUAGUGGAUGGCAUUACAGAGACACCACCAAGAACGACCGACCUUUUGUGCCGAGGAUUUAAUCACAAACACCACAUAAGAACUUAGCAUAACACUACUCUUGCACCUCUAUUAGGCCCUCUUUGGAACACAAGAUUUUCAGAGAAAACAAUUCAAUUCCUCCAACUUACAUUGAAAAUCCU
Molecule: long non-coding RNA, 360 nt
Filed under: Oryza brachyantha (malo sina)
Lineage: Eukaryota; Viridiplantae; Streptophyta; Magnoliopsida; Poales; Poaceae
Description: long non-coding RNA (OBRA_LNC003162)
Source: RNAcentral